GGAGAGGUUCCCGAGCGGUCAAAGGGGGCAGACUGUAAAUCUGUUGGCUCAGCCUUCGAAGGUCCGAAUCCUUCUCUCUCCA
Molecule: transfer RNA, 82 nt
Filed under: bacterium
Lineage: Bacteria
Also listed under: 5 other names
Description: tRNA-Tyr
Rfam family: tRNA
About the family: Transfer RNA (tRNA) molecules are approximately 80 nucleotides in length.
Source: RNAcentral